RNAcentral lists this long non-coding RNA (247 nucleotides) under Lathyrus oleraceus (garden pea). RNAcentral's name for it is "Pisum sativum (pea) long non-coding RNA (PSAT_LNC011914)". The record is from RNAcentral. Lineage: Eukaryota; Viridiplantae; Streptophyta; Magnoliopsida; Fabales; Fabaceae.
UCAACUAUUCAUUAGCCACAUUAAUAUAGCUAUUCUUAAUAAUGGAAAUGCAAGAUGUGCAGUAAAAACAGGUAGUGCAGUAAAAGCUACUUGCAAGUACUACAAGUCCAAACACCAAGCCAAGGCAUAAACGGUAGCGGCCAAGGCGAAACGCAUAUGGAAACGAAAGCUACAUUUCAAAACGCAAGGAGAUUGUGAGAAAAAUGCACCAGCACCACGUGCAAAAAAAUGGAAAAAAGAAAAAUUC